AGAGUUUGAUCCUGGCUCAGAUUGAACGCUGGCGGCAGGCCUAACACAUGCAAGUCGAGCGGUAGAGAGAAGCUUGCUUCUCUUGAGAGCGGCGGACGGGUGAGUAAUGCCUAGGAAUCUGCCUGGUAGUGGGGGAUAACGCUCGGAAACGGACGCUAAUACCGCAUACGUCCUACGGGAGAAAGCAGGGGACCUUCGGGCCUUGCGCUAUCAGAUGAGCCUAGGUCGGAUUAGCUAGUUGGUGAGGUAAUGGCUCACCAAGGCGACGAUCCGUAACUGGUCUGAGAGGAUGAUCAGUCACACUGGAACUGAGACACGGUCCAGACUCCUACGGGAGGCAGCAGUGGGGAAUAUUGGACAAUGGGCGAAAGCCUGAUCCAGCCAUGCCGCGUGUGUGAAGAAGGUCUUCGGAUUGUAAAGCUCUUUUGUCAGGGAAGAAACGGUAGAGGCUAAUAUCCUUGCUAAUGACGGUA
RNAcentral lists this ribosomal RNA (473 nucleotides) under uncultured Pseudomonas sp. RNAcentral describes it as "bacterial SSU rRNA". It matches the Rfam family "Bacterial small subunit ribosomal RNA", at positions 8 to 477 of the family's 1533-position model. Lineage: Bacteria; Pseudomonadati; Pseudomonadota; Gammaproteobacteria; Pseudomonadales; Pseudomonadaceae. The record is from RNAcentral.